RNAcentral lists this transfer RNA (60 nucleotides) under Cittarium pica. RNAcentral's name for it is "tRNA-Lys". The record is from RNAcentral. Lineage: Eukaryota; Metazoa; Mollusca; Gastropoda; Trochida; Tegulidae.
GGUGGCUGAGGUUAAGCAUUAGACUUUUAAUCUAAUUACGGUAUUCUAGAUAGUACCCCU